AUUGAACGCUCGCGGGAUGCUUUACACAUGCAAGUCGAACGGCAGCGCGGACUUCGGUCUGGCGGCGAGUGGCGAACGGGUGAGUAAUGUAUCGGAACGUGCCCAGUAGCGGGGGAUAACUACGCGAAAGCGUAGCUAAUACCGCAUACGCCCUACGGGGGAAAGCAGGGGAUCGUAAGACCUUGCACUAUUUGAGCGGCCGAUAUCGGAUUAGCUAGUUGGUGAGGUAACGGCUCACCAAGGCGACGAUCCGUAGCUGGUUUGAGAGGACGACCAGCCACACUGGGACUGAGACACGGCCCAGACUCCUACGGGAGGCAGCAGUGGGGAAUUUUGGACAAUGGGGGCAAGCCUGAUCCAGCCAUCCCGCGUGUGCGAUGAAGGCCUUCGGGUUGUAAAGCACUUUUGGCAGGAAAGAAACGUCGCGGGCUAAUACCCCGUGGAACUGACGGUACCUGCAGAAUAAGCACCGGCUAACUACGUG
Molecule: ribosomal RNA, 484 nt
Filed under: uncultured bacterium
Lineage: Bacteria
Description: partial 16S ribosomal RNA
Rfam family: Bacterial small subunit ribosomal RNA
Source: RNAcentral